GACGAACGCUUGCGGCGUGCUUAACACAUGCAAGUCGAACGGAAAGGCCCUGCUUUUGUGGGGUGCUCGAGUGGCGAACGGGUGAGUAACACGUGAGUAACCUGCCCUUGACUUUGGGAUAACUUCAGGAAACUGGGGCUAAUACCGGAUAGGAGCUCCUGCUGCAUGGUGGGGGUUGGAAAGUUUCGGCGGUUGGGGAUGGACUCGCGGCUUAUCAGCUUGUUGGUGGGGUAGUGGCUUACCAAGGCUUUGACGGGUAGCCGGCCUGAGAGGGUGACCGGCCACAUUGGGACUGAGAUACGGCCCAGACUCCUACGGGAGGCAGCAGUGGGGAAUAUUGCACAAUGGGCGGAAGCCUGAUGCAGCAACGCCGCGUGCGGGAUGACGGCCUUCGGGUUGUAAACCGCUUUCGCCUGUGACGAAGCGUGAGUGACGGUAAUGGGUAAAGAAGCACCGGCUAACUACGUGCCAGCAGCCGCGGUGAUACGUAGGGUGCGAGCGUUGUCCGGAUUUAUUGGGCGUAAAGGGCUCGUAGGUGGUUGAUCGCGUCGGAAGUGUAAUCUUGGGGCUUAACCCUGAGCGUGCUUUCGAUACGGGUUGACUUGAGGAAGGUAGGGGAGAAUGGAAUUCCUGGUGGAGCGGUGGAAUGCGCAGAUAUCAGGAGGAACACCAGUGGCGAAGGCGGUUCUCUGGGCCUUUCCUGACGCUGAGGAGCGAAAGCGUGGGGAGCGAACAGGCUUAGAUACCCUGGUAGUCCACGCUGUAAACGGUGGGUACUAGGUGUGGGGUCCAUUCCACGGGUUCCGUGCCGUAGCUAACGCUUUAAGUACCCCGCCUGGGGAGUACGGCCGCAAGGCUAAAACUCAAAGGAAUUGACGGGGCCCCGCACAAGCGGCGGAGCAUGCGGAUUAAUUCGAUGCAACGCGUAGAACCUUACCUGGGUUUGACAUGGAUCGGGAGUGCUCAGAGAUGGGUGUGCCUCUUUUGGGGUCGGUUCACAGGUGGUGCAUGGCUGUCGUCAGCUCGUGUCGUGAGAUGUUGGGUUAAGUCCCGCAACGAGCGCAACCCUUGUUCACUGUUGCCAGCACGUUAUGGUGGGGACUCAGUGGAGACCGCCGGGGUCAACUCGGAGGAAGGUGGGGAUGACGUCAAGUCAUCAUGCUCCUUAUGUCCAGGGCUUCACGCAUGCUACAAUGGCUGGUACAGAGAGUGGCGAGCCUGUGAGGGUGAGCGAAUCUCGGAAAGCCGGUCUCAGUUCGGAUUGGGGUCUGCAACUCGACCUCAUGAAGUCGGAGUCGCUAGUAAUCGCAGAUCAGCAACGCUGCGGUGAAUACGUUCCCGGG
RNAcentral lists this ribosomal RNA (1343 nucleotides) under uncultured bacterium. Its description in RNAcentral is "16S ribosomal RNA". It matches the Rfam family "Bacterial small subunit ribosomal RNA", at positions 28 to 1378 of the family's 1533-position model. The record is from RNAcentral.